This is a long non-coding RNA of Otolemur garnettii (small-eared galago), 891 nucleotides long. RefSeq lists it as uncharacterized. The record is from RefSeq and is a predicted model, not a curated record. The transcript has 2 exons. Lineage: Eukaryota; Metazoa; Chordata; Mammalia; Primates; Galagidae.
GCAAAUCUUUCCUUUUUAGGAGGAGUAAAACUUGGAUUGGGAGAUUUCAUUUUCUACAGUGUUCUUGUUGGUAAAGCUUCAGCAACAGCCAGUGGAGACUGGAACACAACCAUAGCCUGUUUUGUAGCCAUAUUAAUUGGUUUGUGCCUUACAUUAUUACUCCUUGCCAUUUUCAAGAAAGCAUUGCCAGCUCUUCCAAUCUCUAUCACCUUUGGGCUUGUUUUCUACUUUGCCACGGAUUAUCUUGUACAGCCCUUUAUGGACCAAUUAGCAUUCCAUCAAUUUUAUAUCUAGCACAUUUGCAGUUUGAAUCCCAUGGAUGUUUCCUUUGACUAUAAUAAAAUCUGGGGAGGACAAAGGUGAUUUUCCUGUGUCCACAUCUAACAAAGUCAAGAUUCCCAGCUGGACUUUUGCAGCUUCCUUCCAAGUUUUCCUGACCACCUGCAGUAUUGGACAUUGGAAGGAGGUGUCUUUAGAAAAUGGUUUUGAAAAUUCUUCAUCAUGGUGGACCGUGUCCCUCGGUGCAAGACUACCAGAUUUGAGGGACAAGGACAAGGAAAUGUGAUGGGCCAAGAAGUUGCUGUGCUCCCUCAACGGUUUGACCCUUGGUCACAGGGAGAUUUUACCAACACUGGAGACACUCAGGACUACCAUUACUAAGAGGUUAAAUGAAGUGGUUUAAACCAAACAGGACUCUUCAUCUUAAACUACAUGUUGAAAUCAACCCAAUAAAUCUAUAUUAAUUGAAUUCUGAACCUUUGCAGGAAGUGCUGUGAAGAGAAUAGGCACCAACAUCAAAAUGGAGAGGUGGAAAGGGGCUCAAGUUUUCACUUCCAGACUUCUCUGCUGCAGAUUUAUUAUUUUUAAAUAAAAAUUUUCCCCCCACUUUGA